Molecule: unclassified non-coding RNA, 309 nt
Filed under: plant metagenome
Description: partial contains 5.8S ribosomal RNA, internal transcribed spacer 2, and large subunit ribosomal RNA
Rfam family: 5.8S ribosomal RNA (bases 1-105)
Source: RNAcentral
GAAAUGCGAUAAGUAGUGUGAAUUGCAGAAUUCAGUGAAUCAUCGAAUCUUUGAACGCACAUUGCGCCCCUAGGUAUUCCAUGGGGCAUGCCUGUUCGAGCGUCAUUUGUACCCUCAAGCUCUGCUUGGUGUUGGGUGUUUGUCCCGUCUCCGCGCGUGGACUCGCCCCAAAGUGAUUGGCAGCCGGCGUACUGGUCCCGGAGCGCAGCACAUGUCGCGCAAACGAGUGCCUUGGUACGGCGGCGUCCAUAAGCCCCUCUCUCACGCUCUUGACCUCGGAUCAGGUAGGGAUACCCGCUGAACUUAAGC